This 301-nucleotide ribosomal RNA is filed under the name uncultured bacterium. RNAcentral describes it as "partial 16S ribosomal RNA". It matches the Rfam family "Bacterial small subunit ribosomal RNA", at positions 509 to 807 of the family's 1533-position model. The record is from RNAcentral.
CAGUCGCCACGGGAAUACGGAGGGAGCUAGCGUUGUUCGGAAUUACUGGGCGUAAAGCGCGCGUAGGCGGUUACUCAAGUCAGAGGUGAAAGCCCGGGGCUCAACCCCGGAACUGCCUUUGAAACUAGGUAACUAGAAUCUUGGAGAGGGCAGUGGAAUUCCGAGUGUAGAGGUGAAAUUCGUAGAUAUUCGGAAGAACACCAGCGGCGAAGGCGACUGACUGGACAAGUAUUGACGCUGAGGUGCGAAAGCGUGGGGAGCAAACAGGAUUAGAUACCCCUGUAGUCCCUGUCUCUUAUAC